GACGAACGCUGGCGGCGUGCUUAACACAUGCAAGUCGAACGGAAAGGCCUGCUUUCCCUUGUGGAUUGCGGGUACUCGAGUGGCGAACGGGUGAGUAACACGUGAGUGAUCUGCCCCCAACUUGGGUAUAAGCCUGGGAAACUGGGUCUAAUUCCCGAUAGGACUGCAGGGUGGUGCCUGUGGUGGAAAACGAUUUUCUAGUGGUUGGGGAUGAGCUCGCGGCCUAUCAGCUUGUUGGUGGGGUAAUGGCCUACCAAGGCGGCGACGGGUAGCCGGCCUGAGAGGGUGGACGGCCACAUUGGGACUGAGAUACGGCCCAGACUCCUACGGGAGGCAGCAGUGGGGAAUAUUGCACAAUGGGCGGAAGCCUGAUGCAGCGACGCCGCGUGGGGGAUGACGGCCUUCUGGUUGUAAACUCCUUUCGACCGCGAGGAAGCCACCUGGUUGGAAGGGUGGUGACGGUAGUGGUAGAAGAAGCACCGGCUAACUACGUG
Molecule: ribosomal RNA, 494 nt
Filed under: uncultured bacterium
Lineage: Bacteria
Description: partial 16S ribosomal RNA
Rfam family: Bacterial small subunit ribosomal RNA
Source: RNAcentral